Molecule: ribosomal RNA, 789 nt
Filed under: uncultured Methanomicrobiaceae archaeon
Lineage: Archaea; Methanobacteriati; Methanobacteriota; Methanomicrobia; Methanomicrobiales; Methanomicrobiaceae
Description: partial 16S ribosomal RNA
Rfam family: Archaeal small subunit ribosomal RNA
Source: RNAcentral
ACUGCUCAGUAACACGUGGAUAACCUGCCCUGSGGUGGGAAAUAACCCCGGGAAACUGGGGAUAAUGUCCCAUARGCYACRGAUGCUGGAAUGCUCUGUACCUCAAAGAUUUAUCGCCGCAGGAUGGGUCUGCGGCCGAUUAKGUAGUUGUUGGGGUAACGGCCCAACAAGCCUUUGAUCGGUACGGGUUGUGCGAGCAAGAGCCCGKAGAUUGAUUNUSAGACAUGAAUCCAGUCCGUACGGGGCGCAGCAGGCUMGAAAACUUUWCAAUGCGGGAAWCCUUGAUAAGSGAACUCCGAGUGUCUGUAANUGCGGACUGUCMGUAUGUUUAAAAAGCAUGCKAAGAAAGGGCCGGGCAAGACCGGUGCCAGCCGCCGCGGUAAUACCGGCGGCUCGAGUGGUGGUCACUAUUACUGGGUUUAAAGCGUUCGUAGCUGGGUUGUUAAGUUUUUUGGGAAAUCUACCGGCUUAACCGAUAGGCGUUCAAGGGAUACUGGCAAUCUAGGGACCGGGAGAGGUGAGGGGUACUUCAGGGGUAGGAGUGAAAUCCUGUAAUCCUUGGGGGACCACCUGUGGCGAAGGCGCCUCACCAGAACGGCUYCGACAGUGAGGGACGAAAGCUGGGGGAGCAAACCGGAUUAGAUACCCGGGUAGUCCCAGCCGUAAACGAUGCGCGUUAGGUGUAUCGAUGACCACGAGUCAUUGAGGUGCCGAAGGGAAACCGUGAAACGCGCCGCCUGGGAAGUACGGUCGCAAGGCUGAAACUUAAAGGAAUUGGCGGGGGAGCAC